GCGGAGGGAUCAUUGCUGG
This 19-nucleotide ribosomal RNA is filed under the name Cytospora schulzeri. RNAcentral describes it as "partial 18S ribosomal RNA". The record is from RNAcentral. Lineage: Eukaryota; Fungi; Ascomycota; Sordariomycetes; Diaporthales; Cytosporaceae.